This 91-nucleotide transfer RNA is filed under the name Dactylellina haptotyla CBS 200.50. It matches the Rfam family "tRNA". From Rfam's summary of the family: Transfer RNA (tRNA) molecules are approximately 80 nucleotides in length. Their secondary structure includes four short double-helical elements and three loops (D, anti-codon, and T loops). Further hydrogen bonds mediate the characteristic L-shaped molecular structure. tRNAs have two regions of fundamental functional importance: the anti-codon, which is responsible for specific mRNA codon recognition, and the 3' end, to which the tRNAs corresponding amino acid is attached (by aminoacyl-tRNA synthetases). tRNAs cope with the degeneracy of the genetic code in two manners: having more than one tRNA (with a specific anti-codon) for a particular amino acid; and 'wobble' base-pairing, i.e. permitting non-standard base-pairing at the 3rd anti-codon position. The record is from Rfam by way of RNAcentral. Lineage: Eukaryota; Fungi; Ascomycota; Orbiliomycetes; Orbiliales; Orbiliaceae.
GCGGGUUUAGCUCAGUUGGGAGAGCGUCAGACUGAAGUCAAACUUCAAUCACUAAAUCUGAAGGUCAUGUGUUCGAUCCACAUAAACCGCA